GUGCUGAGGAGAGAGUUUAAGAUGUAUGUAAUGAUUAACAUGCACAGAAAAUUAUAACCAGGGAGGGAUUUUGAUAUUUGACUUACUCAAUUGCAGAGAUUACUAUAGUAUGUAGGUGGCUAAGAUGAAAAAAAAAAAAGAUUAUCUUUGGAUGAAGGAAAUAUGUUCUCGGAGAUUUGAGAAGUGCCAUCAAGAUUAUUUGUAAGGUUGGCAAAACUCACAGGUAAAGCUGCUUUUACAAGCAGACCACGAUUUACCCUCAUUAAAACAGGUAUACUGCUCUCUAAUUUUACAGUCUAAAUUCAUACAGGUGUUGGUAGCAGCUGAGCUCCACAACAUAACCCAGAAACUCAGGUUGUCUGUAUCUUGUCCCUCCACUAUCCCUAGGGUGUUUUUACCCUCCAAAUAGCCCAAACUCUAAUUAUGUCCAUGAAUUUGUCUGCAAGAAGCAGCAAAGAGGAAGCUUACAGCAAGUAGCUGAUGGGGAAGCAAAAAGUAGUGCAGCUCUUAUGUUCAUAGCCCAUUGGCCAGAACUUAGUCACAUGGCACAUGUGAAAAAAUGAAAAAAAGAAAAUAGUUGCUAGGAAGGUUGAAAUAUAUAGUCUCCUGCUAGUCUCUUGCUAAUAAAACUAAUGGAAUUCUUUAUUAAAAAGAAGAAAUGAAGACUGCAGAUUGGGAUUCUAAAUAAUUGGAAUAAAAUUGACAAUCUCAAAUACAAAGCCAAACUACAGGAUAAAAAAAAAAAAAAAACCUGUGAAAUAGAUGUUGAAAUCAGUGAGGAAGAAGAAUUGAAUCUUUCUCUGGCAGGUAGGCCAGUGAUUUCAGAACAACAAAGGAAGUUGCCAUAAGUAGACUGCAUGAAGUUCUGUAAAGAUAAGACCUUAGGUUCCACCUUAAGAAUAUUAAACUCUUUCUGACUUCAUGAAUUUCAGUGACUUCGAGUGGCAGAAAAUUUAAGAGAUGCAGUAUCUUCGGAGAGUAAUGACAUAUAAUCCACACAUUCAUGGAAGAAUGGAGACCUGAAGUCUUUGAAAGGGAGUAAGCAGAGAGGAAAAUAGAUGUGAACAGAUGAUCUACCUUAUUUUGGAAUUAAGAAACACUUGAAGAUUAUUCUCAGAAAUGCCAUAAGGGAUAUUUAAAAAUCUUGGAGCACACAAGAAGUACAAGAGGAAUGAAAAUGUCAUGUCUUAAUUUUCCAAAAAAGAGAAUAUUUUAGUUUUUAGUAUAUAAAGGCAGAUUAACAAACCUUCACACAAAUCUAAAUUUUAUUACUAAAUUAAUUGAUUACACUUUGUGUUUACUAGGUCACAGGGAAUUUCAGUGGGUUUACUCUGCAAAAGAUUUCAUGUGAAAUACAUUUUUCUAUUCUGAAAGGUUUUUCAAGAUUUUCAAGGCAACUAAGAAGUUUUCUAAAAAGACAGUGUUUGUAAUACAGGCUCUAUAGAAAGCAUCGUUGUGGAGGCCUCAGGAAACUUACAAUCAUGGCAGAAGGCGAAGGGAAGCAGGCACAUCUUACGUGGCUGGAGAAGGAGGAAGAGAGAGCAGAGGAAGGUGCUACACAUUUUUAAACAACCGGAUCUCAUGAGAACUCACUCACUAUCACAAGAACAGCAGGGAAAUCCACCCCCAUGAUUCUAUCACCUCCCACUAGCCCUCUCCUCCUUCAACACUGGGGAUUACAACUCCACAUAAGGUUUGGGCAGGGACACACAUCCAAACCAUAUCAUCACUAAUUAAUGUUUCUGAAAGCUAGAGUUACAUUACAACCACCUGAGGAGCUUUUAGAAAAUUACAGAUCCCUGAGCUUCCAUCUAGAUUGAUUAAAUAAAAAUAUCUGGGCUUGAAUUCCUCGAGUUUGCAUUUUUUAAACUUUGUCAGUGAUUCUGAUGGUCAAUGAGUUUUGAGAACCACCGCUCUAAACCUUUCUGAAAUUUCUUCUUGUUCUAUAAAGUGAGGAUAAUAAUAUGAUAAGGAUAUCUCUGUCACAAUUUGAUGUAAGACAUAUAAAUAACUUAACCUAAAUCAGGUUCUCAGCACUGUAUCAGCUUAUAGAAGUAGAACGAGUAUGCAUUUUGCAAAUGAGUUCCUAAUCUAGCUGCAGUAUUUCCUAGGUCUGUCACAGUCAAGUCAUAGGACUUUGGAGAUUCAGUUUCCUCAUUUCUCAUAGGACCUUGGAGCCUCAGUUUUUCU
Molecule: long non-coding RNA, 2190 nt
Filed under: Homo sapiens (human)
Lineage: Eukaryota; Metazoa; Chordata; Mammalia; Primates; Hominidae
Description: HSALNT0191906
Source: RNAcentral